Molecule: long non-coding RNA, 844 nt
Organism: Limulus polyphemus (Atlantic horseshoe crab)
Lineage: Eukaryota; Metazoa; Arthropoda; Merostomata; Xiphosura; Limulidae
Exons: 2
Source: RefSeq, a predicted model, not a curated record
UAGCUACUCCCUUCAUAUACAAAACAGUAGGUAAUUUAUGUUUAAAUCACUUAACGUGAGUGCAUAUUCAUAUAUAAAAAAUUGGUAAUUUAUUUCGUAGUGUAGUGGGUCUAGUUCAGAGCCUUUGGUUAAUUAAUACUCUUAAACUGAACAGUAUACUAAAAGUAAAAUAUCCCAACUUUUUAUGAAAUAAUUUAUAAUGGUUCGCGAUAAACGUGGAGUAGGAGGUUGUGAAGUUUCAAAUAUUUGAAGUGCAGAGUUAACCAAUUUAAUUAUUUAGUUGUGUGUAAGUAAAAUUAAUGUUAUUUCUUAAUAGGAACUCUUGUAUUAGAUGUGCUAUAAAUGUACUUAAUGUGGGGUUGGGGGGGAGCUAACUUUCUUACGUUGUAAAGUAGGAUCACCAAAGACCUGGAAGUCCUAAAGAAAUUACUAAAGGUGUUUACCCACCAAAUAACUUCUUCACAAAGUACUGAAGAUUUUGAACAACCAAGAUGGAAGUCUGGUACUGAUCUUCGUAGCUAAGCUUUUUCGCGUGAAGGUCUUAAUACAAGACUACAUGAAGUUGUAUUCCAGCUUGAGUGAUCCCUUACACCUUGUUCUGUGAGCAUUAAUUUCCACUGGUUCUGCCAAGUUAGUCUUCUCGUUUUAUUGUAAGAAGCUCAAUAGUGACUGGAAGAACAUAUUCGUUGCGAACCAUUUAUUGUAAUCUAGUGGUGCUAUUUGGAGCUGCUGCUUGUGCUUGAAUACGAACACCUGGCGCGUAUUUUCUGACGUCUUUCUAUGGAUUAGGAAACUACUGAACGUUUAAAUUACACACCACGAACUUUCGUGAUUGUAUGCACAU